GUCUCUGUAGCACAAUGGAUAGUUCGUUGCAUUUCUAAUCCAAGGGUUGUAGGUCCGAAUCCUACCUGGAAUG
Trichonephila clavipes is the source of this 73-nucleotide non-coding RNA. The record is from the annotation of a GenBank genome assembly. NCBI's taxonomy places the organism in Eukaryota, Metazoa, Arthropoda, Arachnida, Araneae, Nephilidae.